UUAAGCGACUAAGCGUACACGGUGGAUGCCCUGGCAGUCAGAGGCGAUGAAGGACGUGCUAAUCUGCGAUAAGCGUCGGUAAGGUGAUAUGAACCGUUAUAACCGGCGAUUUCCGAAUGGGGAAACCCAGUGUGAUUCGUCACACUAUCAUUAACUGAAUCCAUAGGUUAAUGAGGCGAACCGGGGGAACUGAAACAUCUAAGUACCCCGAGGAAAAGAAAUCAACCGAGAUUCCCCCAGUAGCGGCGAGCGAACGGGGAGCAGCCCAGAGCCUGAAUCAGUGUGUGUGUUAGUGGAAGCGUCUGGAAAGGCGCGCGAUACAGGGUGACAGCCCCGUACACAAAAAUGCACAUGCUGUGAGCUCGAUGAGUAGGGCGGGACACGUGGUAUCCUGUCUGAAUAUGGGGGGACCAUCCUCCAAGGCUAAAUACUCCUGACUGACCGAUAGUGAACCAGUACCGUGAGGGAAAGGCGAAAAGAACCCCGGCGAGGGGAGUGAAAAAGAACCUGAAACCGUGUACGUACAAGCAGUGGGAGCCUCUUUUAUGGGGUGACUGCGUACCUUUUGUAUAAUGGGUCAGCGACUUAUAUUCUGUAGCAAGGUUAACCGAAUAGGGGAGCCGAAGGGAAACCGAGUCUUAACUGGGCGUUAAGUUGCAGGGUAUAGACCCGAAACCCGGUGAUCUAGCCAUGGGCAGGUUGAAGGUUGGGUAACACUAACUGGAGGACCGAACCGACUAAUGUUGAAAAAUUAGCGGAUGACUUGUGGCUGGGGGUGAAAGGCCAAUCAAACCGGGAGAUAGCUGGUUCUCCCCGAAAGCUAUUUAGGUAGCGCCUCGUGAAUUCAUCUCCGGGGGUAGAGCACUGUUUCGGCAAGGGGGUCAUCCCGACUUACCAACCCGAUGCAAACUGCGAAUACCGGAGAAUGUUAUCACGGGAGACACACGGCGGGUGCUAACGUCCGUCGUGAAGAGGGAAACAACCCAGACCGCCAGCUAAGGUCCCAAAGUCAUGGUUAAGUGGGAAACGAUGUGGGAAGGCCCAGACAGCCAGGAUGUUGGCUUAGAAGCAGCCAUCAUUUAAAGAAAGCGUAAUAGCUCACUGGUCGAGUCGGCCUGCGCGGAAGAUGUAACGGGGCUAAACCAUGCACCGAAGCUGCGGCAGCGACGCUUAUGCGUUGUUGGGUAGGGGAGCGUUCUGUAAGCCUGUGAAGGUGUGCUGUGAGGCAUGCUGGAGGUAUCAGAAGUGCGAAUGCUGACAUAAGUAACGAUAAAGCGGGUGAAAAGCCCGCUCGCCGGAAGACCAAGGGUUCCUGUCCAACGUUAAUCGGGGCAGGGUGAGUCGACCCCUAAGGCGAGGCCGAAAGGCGUAGUCGAUGGGAAACAGGUUAAUAUUCCUGUACUUGGUGUUACUGCGAAGGGGGGACGGAGAAGGCUAUGUUGGCCGGGCGACGGUUGUCCCGGUUUAAGCGUGUAGGCUGGUUUUCCAGGCAAAUCCGGAAAAUCAAGGCUGAGGCGUGAUGACGAGGCACUACGGUGCUGAAGCAACAAAUGCCCUGCUUCCAGGAAAAGCCUCUAAGCAUCAGGUAACAUCAAAUCGUACCCCAAACCGACACAGGUGGUCAGGUAGAGAAUACCAAGGCGCUUGAGAGAACUCGGGUGAAGGAACUAGGCAAAAUGGUGCCGUAACUUCGGGAGAAGGCACGCUGAUAUGUAGGUGAAGUCCCUUGCGGAUGGAGCUGAAAUCAGUCGAAGAUACCAGCUGGCUGCAACUGUUUAUUAAAAACACAGCACUGUGCAAACACGAAAGUGGACGUAUACGGUGUGACGCCUGCCCGGUGCCGGAAGGUUAAUUGAUGGGGUCAGCGCAAGCGAAGCUCUUGAUCGAAGCCCCGGUAAACGGCGGCCGUAACUAUAACGGUCCUAAGGUAGCGAAAUUCCUUGUCGGGUAAGUUCCGACCUGCACGAAUGGCGUAAUGAUGGCCAGGCUGUCUCCACCCGAGACUCAGUGAAAUUGAACUCGCUGUGAAGAUGCAGUGUACCCGCGGCAAGACGGAAAGACCCCGUGAACCUUUACUAUAGCUUGACACUGAACAUUGAGCCUUGAUGUGUAGGAUAGGUGGGAGGCUUAGAAGUGUGGACGCCAGUCUGCAUGGAGUCGACCUUGAAAUACCACCCUUUAAUGUUUGAUGUUCUAACGUGGACCCGUAAUCCGGGUUGCGGACAGUGUCUGGUGGGUAGUUUGACUGGGGCGGUCUCCUCCUAAAGAGUAACGGAGGAGCACGAAGGUUGGCUAAUCCUGGUCGGACAUCAGGAGGUUAGUGCAAUGGCAUAAGCCAGCUUGACUGCGAGCGUGACGGCGCGAGCAGGUGCGAAAGCAGGUCAUAGUGAUCCGGUGGUUCUGAAUGGAAGGGCCAUCGCUCAACGGAUAAAAGGUACUCCGGGGAUAACAGGCUGAUACCGCCCAAGAGUUCAUAUCGACGGCGGUGUUUGGCACCUCGAUGUCGGCUCAUCACAUCCUGGGGCUGAAGUAGGUCCCAAGGGUAUGGCUGUUCGCCAUUUAAAGUGGUACGCGAGCUGGGUUUAGAACGUCGUGAGACAGUUCGGUCCCUAUCUGCCGUGGGCGCUGGAGAACUGAGGGGGGCUGCUCCUAGUACGAGAGGACCGGAGUGGACGCAUCACUGGUGUUCGGGUUGUCAUGCCAAUGGCACUGCCCGGUAGCUAAAUGCGGAAGAGAUAAGUGCUGAAAGCAUCUAAGCACGAAACUUGCCCCGAGAUGAGUUCUCCCUGACCCUUUAAGGGUCCUGAAGGAACGUUGAAGACGACGACGUUGAUAGGCCGGGUGUGUAAGCGCAGCGAUGCGUUGAGCUAACCGGUACUAAUGAACCGUGAGGCUUAACCUU
RNAcentral lists this ribosomal RNA (2902 nucleotides) under Escherichia coli. RNAcentral describes it as "bacterial LSU rRNA". It matches the Rfam family "Bacterial large subunit ribosomal RNA". The record is from RNAcentral. Lineage: Bacteria; Pseudomonadati; Pseudomonadota; Gammaproteobacteria; Enterobacterales; Enterobacteriaceae.